AUACAUACAUACACAUAUACGGACACAUGCAUACCUUUAUGUACAUUACACACCCCGUAAAACACUCGCGCGCACACACACACAUGUGUGUGUGUGUGUGUGUGUGUGUGUGUGAGCCAUACAUGCAUCCAUACAGACAUAAGUAUUUAUGAAAGAGAGAAGAGAAAGAUUGACAGAGAGAAACUGUUUAUGUGAUAUGGUUUGAUACGUGUGAGAGAGAGACAGAAGGAGAGACAGAGAGUGUUACUACGUGUGUGUGUGUGCGUGGGUGGGUGGGUGUGUAUUCAAAUAUGCAAAUGAAUGGGAGAAAACGUACUCAAUAUCAGAAAUUGAAUCGUUGCUGGAACCGUUGCUACUCAUAUUCCCAGGAAAUUCAGAGAAGCAUCAAGAAGUCUCAGAUUCAAAUAGAUUCAAGCAUACAUACAUACAUAUAUAUAUGUGCAAUAUAUAUAUAUAUAUAUAUAUAUAUAUAUAUAUAUAUAUAUAUAUAUAUAUAUAUAUAUAUAUAUAUAUAUAUAUAUAUAUAUGUGUGCAAAUAUAUAUGUGCGUGUGUAUAUACUCUCUCUUUUUACUUGUUUCAGUCACUUGACUGUAGCCAUGCUGGAGCACCACCUUUAGCCUAGUACUUAUUCUGUCGGUUUCUUUUGCCGAGCCGCUAAGUUACGGGGACGUAAACCCACCAGCAUCGGUUGUCAAGCUAUGCUGGGGGGACAAGCACAGACACACAUAUGCAUAUAUUCGACGGGCUUCUUUCAGUUUCCGUCUAACAAAUCUACUAACAAGGCUUUGGUCGGCCCGAGGCUAUAGCAGAAGACACUUGCUCAAGGUGCCACGCAGUACGACUGAACCCGGAACCAUGUGGUUGGUAAGCAAGCUACUUACCACACAGCCACUCCUACGCCUAU
This 905-nucleotide long non-coding RNA is filed under the name Octopus vulgaris (common octopus). The record is from RNAcentral. Lineage: Eukaryota; Metazoa; Mollusca; Cephalopoda; Octopoda; Octopodidae.